Molecule: transfer RNA, 85 nt
Filed under: Pedosphaera sp.
Lineage: Bacteria; Pseudomonadati; Verrucomicrobiota; Pedosphaerae; Pedosphaerales; Pedosphaeraceae
Also listed under: 3 other names
Description: tRNA-Leu
Rfam family: tRNA
About the family: Transfer RNA (tRNA) molecules are approximately 80 nucleotides in length. Their secondary structure includes four short double-helical elements and three loops (D, anti-codon, and T loops). Further hydrogen bonds mediate the characteristic L-shaped molecular structure. tRNAs have two regions of fundamental functional importance: the anti-codon, which is responsible for specific mRNA codon recognition, and the 3' end, to which the tRNAs corresponding amino acid is attached (by aminoacyl-tRNA synthetases). tRNAs cope with the degeneracy of the genetic code in two manners: having more than one tRNA (with a specific anti-codon) for a particular amino acid; and 'wobble' base-pairing, i.e. permitting non-standard base-pairing at the 3rd anti-codon position.
Source: RNAcentral
GGGCGCGUGGUGGAAUUGGCAGACACGAUGGACUUAGGAUCCAUUGGCGAAAGCUGUGCAGGUUCAAGUCCUGUCGCGCCCACCA